RNAcentral lists this long non-coding RNA (299 nucleotides) under Lynx pardinus (Iberian lynx). The record is from RNAcentral. Lineage: Eukaryota; Metazoa; Chordata; Mammalia; Carnivora; Felidae.
CUUCCUCCGGUUCAAUUUAUAUAUGCGAAUCCUUUCCUUCUCUGCCUCCGGGUCGGCGAGAAUUCCAUCCCAACGCAGGCUUUCGUUGACCUGCUUGGCGAGGUGCUCUUCUAUUUCAGCGACAGAGCGGAGACUUCGAGUGGAGGAGUAAGGGGGCGUGGGCUUGCUUUCAGCUUUGUCCUGCUUGCGCUCUGGCCUCGGGCCGGGGUCUUUGUGGGGACUUAAGAUGUCGUGGAAGGAUGAGGACAGCUGCCGAUUCUUCAGGCCUCGACUCUGAUGUUUAUCUGCUGAGCAGAUGA